ACGCUCGACACCUACGGGGGGCAGCAGUGGGGAAUAUUGCACAAUGGGGGAAACCCUGAUGCAGCAACGCCGCGUGAGUGAAGAAGUAUUUCGGUAUGUAAAGCUCUAUCAGCAGGGAAGAUAAUGACGGUACCUGACUAAGAAGCUCCGGCUAAAUACGUGCCAGUAGCCGCGGUAAUCUGAGCGGCUGGCAAGGC
Molecule: ribosomal RNA, 197 nt
Filed under: uncultured bacterium
Lineage: Bacteria
Description: partial 16S ribosomal RNA
Rfam family: Bacterial small subunit ribosomal RNA
Source: RNAcentral